This 498-nucleotide ribosomal RNA is filed under the name uncultured bacterium. RNAcentral describes it as "bacterial SSU rRNA". It matches the Rfam family "Bacterial small subunit ribosomal RNA", at positions 899 to 1397 of the family's 1533-position model. The record is from RNAcentral.
ACUCAAAUGAAUAGACGGGGGCCCGCACAAGCAGCGGAGCAUGUGGUUUAAUUCGAAGCAACGCGAAGAACCUUACCAGGACUUGACAUCCGAUUAAAGCCGGUGAAAGCCGGUGUCCCUUCGGGGGAAUCGAGACAGGUGGUGCAUGGUUGUCGUCAGCUCGUGUCGUGAGAUGUUGGGUUAAGUCCCGCAACGAGCGCAACCCCUAUCAUUAGUUGCCAGCGCGUAAUGGCGGGAACUCUAAUGAGACUGCCGUGGACAACACGGAGGAAGGUGGGGACGACGUCAAAUCAUCAUGCCCCUUACGUUCUGGGCUACACACGUGCUACAAUGGCCGGUACAAAGGGAAGCGAAGGCGCAAGCCGGAGCGGAACCCAAAAAAGCGGUCUCAGUUCGGAUCGUGGGCUGCAACCCGCCCACGUGAAGUUGGAGUUGCUAGUAAUCGCGAAUCAGCAUGUCGCGGUGAAUGCGUUCCCGGGCCUUGUACACACCGCCCGU